CCACGCCGUAAACGAUGAUUACUCGUAGUAUGCGAUAUAUUGUAUGCUACUAAGGGAAACCGAUAAGUAAUCCACCUGGGGAGUACGCCGGCAACGGUGAAACUCAAAGGAAUUGACGGGGGCCCGCACAAGCGGAGGAACAUGUGGUUUAAUUCGAUGAUACGCGAGGAACCUUACCCGGGCUUGAACUGCAGGAGACGGUUGGCAGAGAUGCCAUCCUCCCUUCGGGGCUCCUGUGGAGGUGCUGCAUGGUUGU
This 256-nucleotide ribosomal RNA is filed under the name uncultured bacterium. Its description in RNAcentral is "partial 16S ribosomal RNA". It matches the Rfam family "Bacterial small subunit ribosomal RNA", at positions 795 to 1052 of the family's 1533-position model. The record is from RNAcentral.